AUUGAACGCUGGCGGCAGGCCUAACACAUGCAAGUCGAACGAGUGGCGGACGGGUGAGUAAUGUCUGGGAAACUGCCUGAUGGAGGGGGAUCACUACUGGAAACGGUAGCUAAUACCGCAUACCAUCGGAUGUGCCCAGAUGGGAUUAGCUAUUAGGUGGGGUAACGGCUCACCUAGGCGACGAUCCCUAGCUGUUCUGAGAGGAUGACCAGCCACACUGGAACUGAGCAACGGUCCAGACUCCGACGGUAGGCAGCAGUGGGGAAUAUUGCACAAUGGGCGCAAGCCUGAUGCAGCCAUGCCGCGUGUAUGAAGAAGUCCUUCGGGUUGUAAAGUACUUUCAGCUGGUAGGCGUUACCCGCAGAAGAAGCACCGGCUAACUCCGUGCCAGCAGCCGCGGUAAUUC
This 406-nucleotide ribosomal RNA is filed under the name uncultured bacterium. RNAcentral describes it as "partial 16S ribosomal RNA". It matches the Rfam family "Bacterial small subunit ribosomal RNA", at positions 30 to 526 of the family's 1533-position model. The record is from RNAcentral.